ACUCCUACGGGAGGCAGCAGUAGGGAAUCUUCCACAAUGGGCGCAAGCCUGAUGGAGCAACACCGCGUGAGUGAAGAAGGGUUUCGGCUCGUAAAGCUCUGUUGUUAAAGAAGAACACGUAUGAGAGUAACUGUUCAUACGUUGACGGUAUUUAACCAGAAAGUCACGGCUAACUACGUGCCAGCAGCCGCGGUAAUACGUAGGUGGCAAGCGUUAUCCGGAUUUAUUGGGCGUAAAGAGAGUGCAGGCGGUUUUCUAAGUCUGAUGUGAAAGCCUUCGGCUUAACCGGAGAAGUGCAUCGGAAACUGGAUAACUUGAGUGCAGAAGAGGGUAGUGGAACUCCAUGUGUAGCGGUGGAAUGCGUAGAUAUAUGGAAGAACACCAGUGGCGAAGGCGGCUACCUGGUCUGCAACUGACGCCGAGACUCGAAAGCAUGGGUAGCGAACAGGAUUAGAUACCCUGGUAGGAUAGCG
This 473-nucleotide ribosomal RNA is filed under the name uncultured bacterium. Its description in RNAcentral is "bacterial SSU rRNA". It matches the Rfam family "Bacterial small subunit ribosomal RNA", at positions 335 to 801 of the family's 1533-position model. The record is from RNAcentral.